UACCCAGCGAUGGGAUGCGAAUCUCGAAAGCCUGUCUCAGUUCGGAUUGGAGGCUGAAACCCGCCUCCAUGAAGUUGGAUUCGCUAGUAAUCGCGCAUCAGCCAUGGCGCGGUGAAUACGUUCCCGGGCCUUGUACACACCGCCCGUCAAGCCAUGGAAGCUGGGGGUGCCUGAAGUUCGUGACCGGAAGGAGCGACCUAGGGCAAAACCGGUGACUGGGGCUAAGUCGUAACAAGGUAUC
Molecule: ribosomal RNA, 241 nt
Filed under: uncultured bacterium
Lineage: Bacteria
Description: partial 16S ribosomal RNA
Rfam family: Bacterial small subunit ribosomal RNA
Source: RNAcentral